UUGCUUUAGCAGCAUAUAUACUAAACUUGGAAUGAUACAGGAAAGAUUAGCUUAGCUCCUGCACGAGAAUGGCACACAGAUUUGAAAAGUGUUCUAUAUUUUU
Molecule: small nuclear RNA, 103 nt
Organism: Protopterus annectens (West African lungfish)
Lineage: Eukaryota; Metazoa; Chordata; Ceratodontiformes; Protopteridae
Source: RefSeq, a predicted model, not a curated record